Molecule: ribosomal RNA, 429 nt
Filed under: Acidobacteriota bacterium
Lineage: Bacteria; Pseudomonadati; Acidobacteriota
Description: Acidobacteria bacterium partial 16S ribosomal RNA
Rfam family: Bacterial small subunit ribosomal RNA
Source: RNAcentral
UGGGGAAUUUUGGACAAUGGGGGAAACCCUGAUCCAGCCAUCCCGCGUGUGCGAUGAAGGCCUUCGGGUUGUAAAGCACUUUUGGCAGGAAAGAAACGUCAUGGGUUAAUACCCCGUGAAACUGACGGUACCUGCAGAAUAAGCACCGGCUAACUACGUGCCAGCAGCCGCGGUAAUACGUAGGGUGCAAGCGUUAAUCGGAAUUACUGGGCGUAAAGCGUGCGCAGGCGGUUCGGAAAGAAAGAUGUGAAAUCCCAGAGCUCAACUGUGGAACUGCAUUUUUAACUACCGGGCUAGAGUUUGUCCGAGGGAGGUGGUAUGUCGCGUGUAGUAGUGAAAUGCGUAGAUAUGCGGAGGAACACCUAUGGCGAAGGCAGCCUCCUGGGAUAACACUGACGCUCAUGCACGAAAGCGUGGGGAGCAAACAGG